This 418-nucleotide unclassified non-coding RNA is filed under the name Hevea brasiliensis (rubber tree). Lineage: Eukaryota; Viridiplantae; Streptophyta; Magnoliopsida; Malpighiales; Euphorbiaceae. The record is from RNAcentral.
AUUUCCCUCUAGGGAAUAUUGAGGAGAUGAAAAAGAUCAGUAGAAGUAGUGUUGCUGCAGCUUCUGCUGGAUCUUUAGCAGUCUCCAAUGAUAUUCACUCUGCUGUUCCUUACUUUGCUCAAUGGCAGAAGGUUCAUGGGAAGGUGUUCAUUUACUGGUUAGGUACAGAGCCAUUUUUAUACAUAGCAGACCCGGAGUUCCUUAAAAGGAUGUCUACAGGCGUCAUGGGCAAAAGCUGGGGAAAGCCCAAUGUGUUUAAACAUGACAGGAAACCAAUGUUCGGUAAUGGUUUGGUUAUGGUUGAAGGUGAUGACGGGGUUCGUCCCCGCCAUAUUAUCACUCCUGCACUCCCAGNCUCACCGGCCAGCGUGAAGGCUAUGGCAAGCUUAAUGGUGGAGUCCACCACUAAGAUGCUGGA